Long non-coding RNA from Oncorhynchus tshawytscha (Chinook salmon), 766 nucleotides. Lineage: Eukaryota; Metazoa; Chordata; Actinopteri; Salmoniformes; Salmonidae. The record is from Ensembl.
CGUGAACAUGCCAGUUAUAGCUAGCUAAUAAAGAGCUACGUUAAGAAAUAUCCUGUAGUACUGCAUUAUAUUAUUUUGUACAAAAUGUACAAAACAUGGUGUCAGAGUAAAAGGUCUUAAAAUAUGAAUUUUUCUGGAGUUCCUUUACCUCGAAUGGACUGGGACUCUACAAAUUUACCCAAUGCAUGGCCUUGGAACCUCACAGCAGAGAGCCAGGAGCUGCAGCACGGGUCAGACUCACAGCUGAGAGCACGGUCAGAGCACACAGCUGGCAGUGAUAUGUCACAACAUAUUGGGUCCAGCCACAAGACGACGCCGACGAGAGGGACGACCCCGAGGACGAGGAGCAGGUGGCGAAGGUGGAAAUCACGGAUGAUGUUGGGAUCCAGAAUGUCCUACACCGGAACCCAACAUCGACAACCCGGAACCCAACAUCACGUGAGCUUCGCUCCACACUUAUGCGCACCUGAAGCACUCGUCAACCGCAGGAGCUUCGGUCUGGCCCAGGGUCCACGGAGCCGAGGACGAGCAUACCAACCCUACCAUGUCACAACACAUUGGUUGGCUGAAACACAUUAUGAAGCAAAUUAACUUUCAACAAGGCACACCUGUUAAUUCAAAUGCAUUCCAGGUGACUACCUCAUGAAGCAGGUUGAGAGAAUGCCAAGAGUGUGCAACGCUGUCAUCAAGGCAAAGGGUGGCUACUUUGAGGAAUCUGAAAUUGAUUUUGAUUUGUUUAAUUAACACUCUUUUGCUUACUACAUGA